This 404-nucleotide ribosomal RNA is filed under the name Verrucomicrobiota bacterium. RNAcentral describes it as "Verrucomicrobia bacterium partial 16S ribosomal RNA". It matches the Rfam family "Bacterial small subunit ribosomal RNA", at positions 355 to 776 of the family's 1533-position model. Lineage: Bacteria; Pseudomonadati; Verrucomicrobiota. The record is from RNAcentral.
UGGGGAAUAUUGGACAAUGGGCGCAAGCCUGUUCCAGCCAUGCCGCGUGAGUGAUGAAGGCCCUAGGGUUGUAAAGCUCUUUCACCGGUGAAGAUAAUGACGGUAACCGGAGAAGAAGCCCCGGCUAACUUCGUGCCAGCAGCCGCGGUAAUACGAAGGGGGCUAGCGUUGUUCGGAUUUACUGGGCGUAAAGCGCACGUAGGCGGACUAUUAAGUCAGGGGUGAAAUCCCGGGGCUCAACCCCGGAACUGCCUUUGAUACUGGUAGUCUUGAGUUCGAGAGAGGUGAGUGGAAUUCCGAGUGUAGUGGUGAAAUUCGUAGAUAUUCGGAGGAACACCAGUGGCGAAGGCGGCUCACUGGCUCGAUACUGACGCUGAGGUGCGAAAGCGUGGGGAGCAAACAGG